This 119-nucleotide ribosomal RNA is filed under the name Pteropus alecto (black flying fox). Lineage: Eukaryota; Metazoa; Chordata; Mammalia; Chiroptera; Pteropodidae. RNAcentral also lists the same sequence under 1 other name. The record is from RNAcentral.
GUCUAUGGCCAUGCCACCCUGAACGUGCCCAAUCUCGUCUGAUCUCAGAUGCUAAGCAGUGUCAGGCCUGGUUAGUACUUGGAUGGGAGACCACCUAGGAAUACCAGGUGCUGUGGGUG